AAGGGGCUGGAUUCCGUUAAAAGGCGCCGGACUUAAGAUCCGGUGGCGUAGGCCUGCGUGGGUUCGAAUCCCACCCCCCGCACCA
This 85-nucleotide transfer RNA is filed under the name Candidatus Bathyarchaeota archaeon. RNAcentral's name for it is "tRNA-Leu". It matches the Rfam family "tRNA", at positions 14 to 71 of the family's 71-position model. From Rfam's summary of the family: Transfer RNA (tRNA) molecules are approximately 80 nucleotides in length. Their secondary structure includes four short double-helical elements and three loops (D, anti-codon, and T loops). Further hydrogen bonds mediate the characteristic L-shaped molecular structure. tRNAs have two regions of fundamental functional importance: the anti-codon, which is responsible for specific mRNA codon recognition, and the 3' end, to which the tRNAs corresponding amino acid is attached (by aminoacyl-tRNA synthetases). tRNAs cope with the degeneracy of the genetic code in two manners: having more than one tRNA (with a specific anti-codon) for a particular amino acid; and 'wobble' base-pairing, i.e. permitting non-standard base-pairing at the 3rd anti-codon position. Lineage: Archaea; Thermoproteati; Candidatus Bathyarchaeota. The record is from RNAcentral.